GCGGCGUUGCUGGGAUACGGAGAGCGGCCGCCAUGACAGCGCCGCGCCGCCAUGACAGCGCCGCCAUGACGGCGCCGAGGCCUGGGCCGGCGGAGCCCCGGGCCGGGACCGAGCCGCGGCCAGGCGGGGGUUUGUCACCUUUAUUUCAUGGGCACGCGCAGUGCUGGCAGAGGCGCUGGCGGGGCUGAGCCUCUGGUCCAGGGUUCUAGAUCACAUUCUCAAAGAUCUGCAUGGAGCUCAUGAUGUCCUCGUCCUGGACGGGGCAGGAGGGAGACAUCAGAGCCCCCAGUCCCCCUCUUCCCGUUGGCCCCGGGGCGCCCAGAGCUCUCACCCCCCAUCUCUCCCAACCCCCCCCCAGCACGUCAUUUUGGGACGGGACGAGGAAUGGGGUUAUAUCUUGGACUCAGAGGCCUGGCAGCGAGGAGGAUACCGGUGACGCUGGAGCCCCUCCCUGGAGCUGCUCACCUUCUGGCACGUCUCCAGGAACUCCUCGAAGGUCACCACGCCAUCGCCAUUCCUGUCCAUCUUCUGUGAGGGAACAGCAGGGGCUCAGUGGGGACGUCCCCGGUGGGGAUGGCAGCUCCGGCCCGUGACAUGGCAGGGUUGGGUGGCUGCCGGGAGGGGACAACGCUGGACGGUCUCACCUGGAAGAACAACUCCACGUGCUCAGCAGGCGCGCUGUCCCUCAGGGCGGGGUGCGUGCAGCGCCCCAUCAUGUCGUAGAUAGACUUCAUGAUCUCCAGCAUCUCCUAGGAGGGGACAGAGCGGGGACAGGGUGACAAGAACCCUCUGAACAAGGGCACCUCCAUCCCCCAGCACCCAUUUCCACCAUCACCAUCCCUCUCUGGGUGUCCCCCGUGAUGCUCCCACCCUGCCCGGCCCCUCCAGUCCUUGCCCCUGCCCCGUCCCUGUGUCACCUCCUUGGUGAUGUAGCCGUCUUUAUUAAUAUCGUAGAGGUUGAAAGCCCACUUCAGCUUCUGGUGCACCGUUCCCCGCAGCAAGACGGAGAGGCCAACAGCAAAAUCCUGCCGGAGGAACCACAGCCGUGAGCGGGGACGUCCCACGGGCACCGCCGGCACGCCCCGACACCGAGGAGGCACCCGUGUCCUGCCUGGCUCGGCUGCUCGCCCCCCUCCAGCGGUGCCGCGGUGCUGCCAUCGAUCGCGGGACGCCCAGGGGAUUUAUUUUUUUUUCCCUAUUGAUCCCAUUUCUAUUCUCGCUCGUAGCUAUUUUUAAUCACCGCGGUAAAACCAGCGCCGGCCCCCCACCCUCCCCCCGCCAGACACCCCUGCCGCAGUGCCUGGAGCUCGCCCGGCGCAGCCUCCCGCCGUCAAGAGGUCCAAAGAUUUUGGCUGUCGCCGCUGUGCCGAGCUUUUAUCCCUGACCGCACGCGGGCGAGGAGGAAGAUCUGAUGAAUCACGCUGCUGGGCACGCUUACAGCCGGCCGCGGCUCGAGGAGCGCGGUGCCGGCACGGCUUUUCCCGGUGUGGAAGCAGCACGGGGAUGCUCACCUGGAAGCAGAGAGCCCCGUUGCGGUCGGCGUCGAAGGCGUCGAACAAGAAGUGCGCGUAGGUGCUGGCGUCUGCGAGGGGAGGAAGGCGAGAGCCGGUGAAGCCCCCCUCGGCCCCAGCACACACCAGCACCCCCAGACCCCCCAUGCCGGCCUCAGGGCUCCCCCCGACUCACCGCCUUGGGGGAAGAACUGCGAGUAGAUGAGCUUGAAAGUCUCCUCGUCCACGAGGCCGCUGGGACACUCCUGAGGAGGAGAGCGGGCGCCCAGUGAACCCCGGCUCCGCCAAAAUCUGCUCCCCGGCCACAGCGGUGUGGGGCCGGGGCGAGGGUCCCCCCGACACUCACGUUCUUGAAGCCGCGGUAGAGGGAUUGCAGCUCCUUCUUGGUGAACUUGGUCUGCGCCAGCAGCUGCUCCAGCCCCUCGGGUUGGUGCCGUACGGCCGAGAGCUCCAGCUCGGCAUCGCCGCUGUCUGCCGGGAGACGCCGGCAGAGACCCCCCGUGGAUCCAGCAUCAUCCUGUGCUCAGUCCCGGCCCGUUUCCCAUCCGGAUCCAACCUGGCUUAAGCCCAACCCCCCCGAUCUGGUGGCAGACCCCAAAUUCCCCUCGUUUCGGGAGGAAAACUGGAGCGUUCUGGCUUUCACAUCCCAAGGGCAAAGGCGGCCGACCCGGAGGGUUUCCCCAGGAGCCGCCGAACCCCUGCCCGUCUCCGGCGGCACGUUCCCAGGGCACGGAGCGUCUCGGAGCCGCCUCUCUCACCCCGACCCCGCUAAUGCUCCCUCCCGCCUGCGCCCGGCCUGGCGGAAGGUAAUUAAUAAAUGAUGGCUCAUUAAUAAUUCCAGCUUGGGGAGCCCCUGCGGACCCGUUCAGCGCCGAGAUGGGGAUAUCGGGAUCUUCUGGCCGGGCUGGGGAGAGGCUCCGCUGUGCCACACCGAUGGGCUCCAGGAUG
Phalacrocorax carbo (great cormorant) is the source of this 2459-nucleotide non-coding RNA. The record is from RefSeq and is a predicted model, not a curated record. NCBI's taxonomy places the organism in Eukaryota, Metazoa, Chordata, Aves, Suliformes, Phalacrocoracidae.